Molecule: long non-coding RNA, 1113 nt
Organism: Neoarius graeffei (lesser salmon catfish)
Lineage: Eukaryota; Metazoa; Chordata; Actinopteri; Siluriformes; Ariidae
Exons: 2
Source: RefSeq, a predicted model, not a curated record
GUUCUCGUGCAUAGCUGUCCUGAGCUUUAUGACCCUUUCACACCCUGGUAAACGUGCAUAAUCGCGAGAACAGACUCUUUUGUUUUCUCUGUACCUUCUAGUUUCGCUGAAACCACCUUCCUGGUUCCUCCUGUUCUAGGGGGUGUAUGGUCUGCUCUUUCAUGUAUAACAAAAACGACUCCUUAUCUGGCGAGUUUCACCUUGUCUUGUCACGCAAGCUUCUGAAUGUAUAUAAACCCUGCUUUUUCUAUGUAUCACUGAGCAGUGCUUGAAUAAACCAGAUUGAUUUAACUCGUGUGGUUCGUUUUAGCCCUGCUCCAGAGCGCUCUUAUGUCGACGCAUCUGAACUAGGACAGACGCAGGUUCUAACAAUUUGGUGACCCCGACGUGAUACUCUCAAUCAGAAAGUUGCUGUGACAAUAGCUGACGGCCUUUUCAGGGAUCCCUUUUCCAGCAUCCGGAGUGAUCCGGUUUCGGCUGAUCUACAAAGAGGGGAUGGUCGGUGCGUCCCGCAGACUUCUGGGCUAAAGAAUCUGGAAGACACGUGAGCCUGGGCUACCUUCAACUAUCUACAUCCUGUGGACACAGAAAGAACAAAGUCAGUGACCAGUAUGACUUUCCUUCUGGUAUUGGUCUUAGUGCUUGGAGCAGGGAAUCCCGCUCAAGCCAGCCACGAGGACAACGUUUUUUGGCGAUUUGCCAAUUGGACUGCUAAACAACAUACUAAUCAGUCUUGUUAUGUCUGUCAAUACGUUAGAGUCUAAACUGUAGUUAUACUCUGUAAACAAAGUAUAAAAGAGGGGAUUGUAAGAUUGUAUGUGUGUUCUCGUGCAUAGCUGUCCUGAGCUUUAUGACCCUUUCACACCCUGGUAAACGUGCAUAAUCGCGAGAACAGACUCUUUUGUUUUCUCUGUACCUUCUAGUUUCGCUGAAACCACCUUCCUGGUUCCUCCUGUUCUAGGGGGUGUAUGGUCUGCUCUUUCAUGUAUAACAAAAACGACUCCUUAUCUGGCGAGUUUCACCUUGUCUUGUCACGCAAGCUUCUGAAUGUAUAUAAACCCUGCUUUUUCUAUGUAUCACUGAGCAGUGCUUGAAUAAACCAGAUUGAUUUAA